RNAcentral lists this long non-coding RNA (2936 nucleotides) under Macaca mulatta (Rhesus monkey). RNAcentral describes it as "lncRNA (ENSMMUG00000065329.1)". The record is from RNAcentral. Lineage: Eukaryota; Metazoa; Chordata; Mammalia; Primates; Cercopithecidae.
GCUGGUGGCCUCCGCGCCCGAGCCAAGCCGUCCGCGGGAUAAAGCGGGGGUCGGGUGGUGGAAACGCAUGAGAGCUCUGCCCCGGAUGCUCCCGGAGCCCAGGCUGCUGCCGGCACACCCGCGCAUGCGCAGUAGACAGCCCCCCCCCCCCCCGGAACUUGAGCCGGCUCUGGGAUCCCCUGGAUGCUCAGUUCUCCUCGGUGUGGAGUCUCUCGUCGCCGCCGCCGGUCCCAGACCCGGAAGGCAGGAAUGCCAGGCUGGUCAGCCCGGAGGGAGAACAGGCCUCUCCACACCGAGCCAGAUGCUCACCACGAAAGGGAGGCCACCGCCCCGCCCCCGACCCGGUCCCAACCCCGCGUCCUAAAGCUCCUCCAGCAGAGCCCGGUAUUCCUCCUCGCUGAGGAGUAGCGGUUCCAGCAAAGCGGGCUCUCCCAAGUCCUGCAGCUCCCCCGGGGCCUCCGUUUCUAAGAAAGGUUGCGCCUGCUGCAGAAACUCUGGGGUCUCCAGGAGCUCAUCCAGCAGGCUGGAGGGGAGUGCAGACGAGCGCCCGGAUGGCUUGCAUCUGCUCCUGCGGCGCGGAGGCCUCCGGAGGCGCGGCCCCAGAGGUGGAGCUGUCCAGACUUGGGAUUCCCACGCCGCCCUGGCGACCUGGGGCCCCUGGCCCCAGCCUCACCACGGACUCCCCUGGGACGUGGGAGGCGCAAGCACACCCUGGCCCUGCGGCUCAGCUCGAGCGGGCCCAGGCUGUCCCACCGAGCAAGGGCCCGGCAGGCUGUGGUGCUGCGGGUCCCGAUCCCCCCGCCAUUGGCUCGGGCGCGGAGGCCACUCCCGGGGAGUCUGAGGGUGGGAGAGCGCCCCUUCCGGAGUCGCCAGGGCAGCGUAGGAAAAAUCCCAAUCCCCGCCUGCCGGGGCAGGAUGGGAGAUCCCUGCUGCCUGCGCAGCCUGGCUGGGCUGCAGCGGGGCGACGGCCCCUGCUCCCUGGCCCACGAAAGCCCCCGGUGGGAGAGCCCCUGGCGCGCAGGGCGCGCACCGUUCCCCACGCCCCGGUGUGGGUGAAGGCGACCGGCGAGGGAGGGGGGGGACACCCGCCGGGGGCCGCGUCGCCCGGGCCGCCUGCGUGCGCCGAUGCCCCGCCACCCUGGCCUGGGUGCCUGGCCCUCCGGUUCUGAAACCAAAUCUGAAUCCGGGACUCCGGGAGGCCCGUCUCUCUGGCCAGUUCUUCCCGGGUGGCGAUGCCUGGAAAGCGAUCCUGCUGGAAGGCUCGCAGGAGCAGGGCGGUCUGGGACCGGGUGACGGCGGUCCGCUUUCGCCUGCCUUCUUGCGGGCCGUGUUUCCCGGGCCAGGGCCGAGAUUCCCGCCGGUGCUGCCUCAGCGGGCGCGAUCUCUCGUUCUGAAACCAAAUCUGGACCCUGGGCUCCGGAAUGCCGAUGGCCUGGGCCAGCUCUUCCCUGGUGGCGAUGCCCGGGUACGGGUUCCGCUCAAAGCAGGCUCGCAGGGCCUCCCUCUGGCUCGGGGUCCAAACGAGUCUCCUUCGCGGUCCUGGUCCUCGGGCUCCCGCCGGGAGGGCGCCGUCGGCAGGUGUCGGGAGCCAUCGCGGGGAGACCUGGCCGGAACUUCGCGGACAGACACGGGCAGAGAGAGGCCGGCGGGCUCCCGUGCCCCUCAGUCGGCCUGUGCACGGCGCGCAGGUCCAGCCAGGAGGCCGGCCCAGCCGGCCAGCGGCUCUCAUAAAGGCCCACAAGCUCCACCCCUUCAGGAAUGCGGGAGGAGCCCUGGGCCAGCCCGCCCUCGGAAGCCGCGAACCACAGUCCCCAGGGCACUGUGGCCUGGGAAUUCUGCGGGGACUGGAAGCUGCUCUUGGGCCUCGCACGCGUCUUCAGCAGGGAGAAGGAUGGAGUGGAGUGUGGGCCUGAACCUCCAUGAGAGUCUUGAGCUUUCCGGGCCCUCUCUCCGGGAAGGAGGCCGUGCCCGUGGGUGUCGCGGUUGCCGUGAUAGUCUCACACACGCAGGUGUGUGGAUCGCGUUCACUUCCACGCAGAACACCAGAGCGAAACCCAGGAGCAAAGCCGCAUCCCGGGCCUCAUGGCCUGAGGAUGGAUUCCUGCAACCUGCAACAUGGGGGGAGUCUCCACUGUGGCUGCUCUGGAAACUGGCAAGGAGAGUGACAACACGGUGCUGGCCUUCCUCGCUUCCCUGGAAGUUUCUGGGUCCCUGCAGAGCUCGGGAAUCAGUCAACAUUGUCACGUUUAUUUGUUUCCAGUUCCUGGACGUUUUCUUAAUUUCCUUUCAAAUACAUUAGGCAUUCUGUGAAUUCCUGUAACUUUUUGGUGAUUUUAAUUGUCUGCAUUAAAUGUUUAAAGUAAAUUAUUUUUCUGAAAAGCAGAAAUAUCCAUAGUUGCAUAUAUGAUUGAAAUAUUUUACACAGAUUUUCUAUGGCAUCUAUCACCACCUCAUGCAAAAUUCCAAGUUUUUUCAUUUGAAACACCCUUCCCAUCAAUAGACCAUAUUGUAAUAAUUUGUUGUACGUGAUUACUUUUAUACCAUUAGAAAAUUAAUUAUAUAUUAUGUACAUAUUUUUGAAAUACUGCAAUGCAAUAAAUAGUAUAUGGUCAGAAGUAUUGUUUUCUCUAACAUAAACCUAAUAUGAGUAAAAUUAUUUACCUGAAUUCAGAUCUUUUGGCUUCAAUUGCCAUUCUGUCUCAUUAGCACUUCCCCAAUCCAUAAAAGAUAUCAGUUGUAUUUUUUAAUUUAUUAUUUAUUGAAAUGGGUUAUUUUACGUUAUAAUGUUUUUAUGGCAAUUUAGAACAUUUUCAAUAAAUAUAGUGAUCUUGAGGCCCUGGCCUCUUGUUUCUGUUUUACCACGUGAGACGCGUACUCCUCUUUCACCGUGAGUGAUUGUGAGCUCCCCAGACCUUCCCGGAAGCAGACACAGGUGC